Molecule: ribosomal RNA, 161 nt
Filed under: uncultured bacterium
Lineage: Bacteria
Description: partial 16S rRNA
Rfam family: Bacterial small subunit ribosomal RNA
Source: RNAcentral
GGAAUCUUCGGCAAUGGACGAAAGUCUGCCGAGCAACGCCGCGUGAGUGAAGAAGGUUUUCGGAUCGUAAAACUCUGUUGGUAGAGAAGAACGUUGGUGAGAGUGGAAAGCUCAUCAAGUGACGGUAACUACCCAGAAAGGGACGGCUAACUACGUGCCAG